UGUUUAAUUUCUAGUGAUAAUUUCUAGGAACAAGGCACAAAGGUUCUUUCUUAUGCACAGCAAGUCCAAGCAAAACAUCAGUAUCAAUGUCUUCUAUGUUCAUUCCAGGAGGCAACUCCCAAUCAAAAGCGUAAAGAAGAUUGGAAAGUACAAAGUUCCACAGUUGUCACACCAAGUGCCAUAGCCGGGCACCCUCUUCUUCCUGCUCCAAAUGGAAUUAACUCAAAAUUUUGGCCCUUAAAAUCAAUAUCACUAUUCAGGAACCUUUCCGGUAUAAAUUCUUCUGGAUUUUCCCAUAUUUCAGGAUCCCUUGCAAUAGCCACAAAAUUAACAUGAACUAUCGUUUUUGGUUGAAUUUCAUAUCCUUCUAGUAUGGAAUUUUGCAUCGUCUCUCUUGGUACUAACAAUGGACCUGGUGGAUACAAUCUAAAUGUCUCCUUUAUCACUGCUUUAAAAUAUGGAAGAUCUUGGAUAUCAUCUUCAUUCACUAUAAACUUUUUCCCAACCGAUUCUCUAAUUUCUGCUUGAACUUUCUUCAUGGCAUUCGGUUUGGCUAUCAAGGCUGUCAUUGCCCAAACUACUGUAGCUGCACUAGUGUCCGUUCCACCAACUAGCAUAUUCUACAAGUGAGAAUGGAGGAUAAAACUAUAAGAAACAUUUCAUAUAUCAACUGAAGUGUUUUCCUAAUCAUGAAAGGUUAUGUGUAAUAUUACAAGUUUAAAAGGCAUUUCUUAAUAUUUGACCAAAAACUUUCUAUAUAUCAUGAUUGCACCACCAAUAUGACCAUGGAAUAAAAACACUUAGUUGUAUGACAGAGUACUAAUACCUAGUCAAUAAAUAUAAAUACAUACACAAGACUUGCUUAUAUACAAUUUUUAACAUCUAACCCUGAUUAAUUUAUAAAAUUUUCACUUCAACUUGUUAAUUCAUUUCUAAGGUUAACUAUUUAGUUGGGUGUAAGCAGUCGAUGAGAGCAAGUAAAAUAGACACAAAUAGAGUAGUUCAUUACCAUAAUAAGAGCCUUUAUGUUGUCUAAGGUAAGAUCGAUUGGAGUUGAUUUCUCUUUCUUCAAUUGGAGCAAAAGAUCAAUAAUACCCCCUUCCAUGGAUUUUGGCCUAUUGGGAUUGAGAUGUUGCUCAAUGAGUCCUUCAUAAAACUCAUCCAAAUCCUUAAAAUUCUUUUCAAGUUUAUUUAUUUUUUCGGAGAGUUUAUCAAUCCAUCCUAAGAGAGGAAAAUAAUCAGAGACAAAAAACCCAGCCAACAUUUCUUCAGUCACUUUUAAAAGUUCACCAAAUUUCCUCCCUUCGCGUGUUUGUUCACCAUACCUAAUACCAAAAGCAAUUCUACAAAUAAUUGUAGUUGCAAGUGAAAUCACUAUAUUGCUCAAAUUUGUAAUUUGUGAAGUGUGAGCCUUUAAAAAUAUUUUUUUGAUCAUUCUUGCUCCUUCAUCUUCACGAAUUGGACGAUAAUAUUGCACUUUCUUGAGACUAAAUAAAUGAACAACACAUAUUUUUCGAAGUUCUCUCCAAUAGUCAUUGUAAGGUGACACGCCAAUAUCUUGACCAUUGUAAGACAAUUUUUGCUGGCCAAGAAUUGAAGGUCUACUACAAAAGGCUAAAUCUUGUAUGUGUGUUACCUCUUUUGCUAGAUUUGCUGAAGAAACUACAAUCAUAGUAGAAGAACCAAGUUUUAAAGAGAAUAUUUUUCCAUAUUUCUUAGAAAGUUUCCAAAAGUAGAGAUGAGGGGUUAAACCAUCAAAUUGAUGCAAAUUUCCAAUGAAUGGCAACCCUAAAGGGCCUGGUGGUAGAAUGUUUUUUCCAUUCCUUUUGGCUUUAGGAAGAAGGAAACUGAGAAUAAUGAUGAUAAGAAGGGCUACAAAGAGUGGAAACAACAUCAUGUGUUUUGUUUGGAAAAGUCACUCGAAAUGUCUUCUAUAUCUUGUAAUAAGAUUUUCUACAAUUACUUCCAUUUAUAGUACUUUUUUUGUAUUAAUUUGUUUGGCUUGAUUCGUAGUACGAAGUCAAACUAACUAAUGUUUAGUGUGAAUUCGAACAUAAAAUCAUGAUUGUAAUGAAAGUGAUAAAGGAAAAUUCACAGUCCACAAUAUUUUAUUUUAUUUUUAAUGCCUUGUCAUUACCAUUAAUGUGGAUUGUGGACUCUUGUAAUCCACAGUCCACAAUAUUAAAGCGUGAAAAAUGACCUUUGUCCAAAUAUUUGUCUCACCAAUGAUUUCAGAACAUUAGACAAAGGCAAUUUGAUAACGUAAUAAACUCAGAAAUGUCAAAGCUUUAGUUUGUGUCCAAAAUUGGGAUUCAUUCAUUGUCAAGAAAAAGGAAUUCAAAAUUAAAUUUUGCAUCAGAAUAGGAUUAUAACCAACGCACUUAAUUCCUAGAGAAUUAGUAAAUUAGCUACCAAAUUUUUGCGACAUCCUUUGGAACUAGAAGGGAGAUUUUAUUCAAACAACUACUCCAUUACAAGUUUAUAACGAAAAAUGACAGACAUAAAACCAUACAACCAUAUUAUUAAACAUGGAUAACUAAUUUAAACACUAGAGUUUGGUCUUGUUUAAUUUCUAGGAACAAGGCACAAAGGUUCUUUCUUAUGCAUUGCAAGUCCAGGCAAAACAUCAGUGUCAAUGUCUUCUUUUUUCAUUCCACAAGGCAACUCCCAAUCAAAAGCGUAAAGAAGAUUGGAAAGUACAAGUUCCACAGUUGCCACACCGAGUGCCAUAGCCGGGCACCCUCUUCUGCCUGAUCCAAAUGGAAUCAGCUCAAAAUUUUGGCCCUUAAAAUCAAUAUCACUAUUCAGAAACCUCUCCGGUAUAAAUUCUUCUGGAUUUUCCCAUAUUUCAGGAUCCCUUGCAAUAGCCCAAACAUUAACAUGAAUUAUGUUUUGGUUAAUUUCAUAUCCUUCUAGUAUGGAAUUUUGCAUCGUCUCUCUUGCUAUUAACAAUGGACCUGGUGGAAACAAUCUAAAUGUUUCUUUUAUCACUGCUUUAAAAUAUGGAAGAUUUUGGAUGUCUUCUUCAUUCACUAUGGACUUUUUACCAACUAUUUCUCGAAUUUCAGCUUGAACUUUCUUCAUGGCAUUUGGUUUAGCUAUCAAGGCUGUCAUUGCCCAAACUACUGCAGCUGCGCUCGUGUCCGUUCCACCGACUAGCAUAUUCUACUUGAGCAAAUGUGAGGAUAAAAUUAAAUGCAACAAUUCAUAUCAAUUGAAAUUUUUUCCUAAUCAGAAACAGUUAUUGUAACGGCCAGCGCGCUAGUGAUAUUAUAUUGUCCAUUUUGGACCUAGAUCCGCACGACUUUAAAACGCGUCACUGUUUGGCAAGGUCUGAUUACUUAUAUACCCAACAUCACUCAAGUGUUUUGCCGAUGUGAGACUUCUUAUCUUAAGGUGGGGUGUUACAGUCAUAACAUGUGUAAUAUCACAAGUUUAAAAGGCACUUCUUAAUAUUUGAUAAAAAAGUUUCUUUAUAUUAUGAUCGUGUCACAAACAUGACCAAGGAAAAAACUUAGUUGUAUGAAAGAGUGUUAAUACCAAGUCAAUAAAUAUAACAAUACAAAAGACUUGCUUAUAUACAAUUUUAAACAUCUAAUUAACCAAUGAUUAAUUGAUAUGAAUUUUCACUUCAAUUUGUUAAUUCAUCUGUAAGGUUAACUGUUUAGCUAGGUGUAAGCCGUCAGCUAGAGCAAAUAUAAAAAAUAGACAAAUAGAGUAGUGCAUUAGUCAUUACCAUGAUAAUAGCCUUUAUGUUUUCCAAAGUAAGAUCAAUUGGAGUUGAUUUCUCUUUCUUCAAUUGGAGCAAAAGAUCGAUAAUAUCUCCUUCCAUGGAUUUUGGCCUAUUGGGAUUGAGAUGUUGCUCAAUGAGUCCUUCAUAAAACUCAUCCAAAUACUUAAAAUUCUUCUCAAGUUUAUUUAUUUUUCCGGAGAGUUUAUCAAUCCAUCCUAAGAGAGGGAAAUAAUCAGAGACAAAAAAGCCUGCCAACAUUUCUUGAGUCACUUUUAAAAGCUCGCCAAAUUUCCUCCCUUCGCGUGUUUCUUCAUCAUACCUAAUACCAAAAGCAAUUCUACAAAUAAUUGUAGUUGCAAGUGAGAUCACUAUAUUGCUCAAAUUUGUAAUUUGUGAAGUGGAGGCUUGCUGAGAUAUUUUCUUGAUCAUUCUUGAUACUUCAUCUUCACGAAUUGGACUAAAAUAUUGUACUUUAUUGAGACUAAAUAAAUGAACAACACAUAUUUUUCUGAUUUCUUUCCAAUAGUCAUUGUAAGGCGACAUAGCGAUAUCUUGACCAUUGUAAGACAAUUUUUGCUGGCCAAGAAGUGAAGGUCGACUACAAAAAGCUAAAUCUUGUGUCUUCGUUACUUCUUCUGCUAGAUUUGCUGAAGAAACUACAAUCAUAGUAGUAGAACCAAGUUUCAAUGAGAAAAUGUUUCCAUAUUUUUUGGAAAGUUUCCAAAAAUAUAGAUGAGGGGUUAAACCAUCAAAUUGAUGCAAAUUUCCAAUGAAUGGCAGCCCUAAAGGGCCUGGUGGUAGAAUGUUUUUUCCAUUCUUUUUGGCUUUAGGAAAAAUAAAACUGAGAAUGAUGAUGAUAAGAAGGGUUACAAAGAGUGGAAAGAACAUCAUGUGUUUUUUUUUUUGAAAAAGUCACUUGUAUUCUAUAUCUUGUAUUAAGAUUUUCUACGAUUUCUUUUAUUUAUAGUACUCCUUCUGUUUUAAUUUGUUUGACUUGAUCUCGCAGUACGAGAUCAAACAAACUACAUGUUCUGUUUGAAUUCGAACAUAGAAUGUUUAUUUUAUUUUUUAAAAAUUACAUAAAAAUAUUAUAAAUCACAAUAUUUAAAAAGCAUUUGAAGAAAAAUAUAUUACACAAAACAAUACAUUAUUUAACUAUUCAAAUAGUAUAACAAAGGAAGUAGCAGUAACGAAGCUGGGACUUUGGAUCGAGGGCUGUGAUAAUAUUUAUGAAAAUAGAUAUUUAAAAAAAUAUGUAAAUAGAAAGAAAUUUGUCAUUUAAAGUUGGAAAAAAUGACAUUGCAUUUAUAAGCUAAGUGAUAGACUAUACUUUUCACGAUUCUUUAAUAUUCAUGAAAGUGACACAGGAAAAUUAUCUAGAUAUUUAUCUCACCAAUGAUUUCAUAGCAUUAAUUAAACAAAGGUAAUUUGAUAACGUAAUAAAUAAUUGAUAUUGUUUCCUAUUAGAAUUAGGGGAAGGAAUUGAUAAACUCAAAACUAUCAAAGCUUUAGUUUGGGUCCAAAAUUUUGGAUUAAUACAUGGUCAAGGAAAAGAAAUUCUAAAUUAAAUAAUGAAGAAGGGGUAAAGGUUAUAGUAUAUUGGAAUCUCACAUCGAUCUGAAUGGUGGAGGAAACUAAGAAACUUUAUAAAGAAUAACAUAAGUUCAUAUGAUAUAUACAGUUUUUGAGCUCAGUGAUAUUGGCAUAGCCAAGGAAGAAAUAUAUGAGUUUUAUUGGGAAAUGUAGAUAAUACAUGUUUUUCAAUUGGGCUAUGAAAAAUAUGAUAUUAAUAGAACAUUCCCUAUGAAUGAUAUUACCUUAGUUAGGUAGUAGGACAAACCUCACCUAGAACUUUCUGAAGGAGUAUAGUCGUAAGGCGUGUUUGGCCAAAACAAACAAUAUAUGUCGCGUGUGCUUGAGCUGUGACAAUAAAGGCAAUAAUGUUCUCCAUAGGUAUUGCACUUGGUGUUGCAACAGUACUAGAGCUUAUUAACUUUUGUGAUAAAGAUAACAGACAUUCUACUUGGAAUUAUUACGCAUAGGAAAAAUGCUCUUCUUUUCAUUUUUCCGCGAUAUCUUUUGGAACUAGAAGAGAGAUUUUAUUGAUAACUAAAACCAUACGACCAUAUUAAACAUGGAUAACUAACAAAGUUAUACAUACAUAUUUAACUAAUUUAAACACUGGAGUUUGGUCUUGUUCAAUUUCUAGUGAUAAUUUCUAGGAACAAGGCACAACGGUUUUUUCUUAUGUGGUAUGAUUCCAGGCAAAACAUCAGUGUCAAUGUCUUUUAUUUUCAUCCCACGAGGCAACUCCCAAUCAAAAGCGUAAAGAAGAUUGGAAAGUACAAGUUCCACAUUUGCCACACCAAGUGCUAUACCUGGGCACCCUCUUCUACCUGCUCCAAAUGGAAUCAACUCAAAAUCUUGGCCCUUAAAAUCAAUAUCAUUAUUUAAGAACCUCUCAGGUAUAAAUUCUUCUGGAUUUUUCCAUAUUUCAGGAUCCCUUCCAAUUGCCCAAGCAUUAAC
This 6259-nucleotide long non-coding RNA is filed under the name Solanum tuberosum (potato). Its description in RNAcentral is "long non-coding RNA (STUB_LNC000632)". The record is from RNAcentral. Lineage: Eukaryota; Viridiplantae; Streptophyta; Magnoliopsida; Solanales; Solanaceae.